This 492-nucleotide ribosomal RNA is filed under the name uncultured bacterium. RNAcentral's name for it is "partial 16S ribosomal RNA". It matches the Rfam family "Bacterial small subunit ribosomal RNA", at positions 29 to 507 of the family's 1533-position model. The record is from RNAcentral.
AGUGAACGCUGGCGGUAGGCCUAACACAUGCAAGUCGAACGGCAGCACAGUAAGAGCUUGCUCUUACGGGUGGCGAGUGGCGGACGGGUGAGGAAUACAUCGGAAUCUACUUUUUCGUGGGGGAUAACGUAGGGAAACUUACGCUAAUACCGCAUACGACCUACGGGUGAAAGCAGGGGAUCUUCGUACCUUGCGCGAUUGAAUGAGCCGAUGUCGGAUUAGCUAGUUGGCGGGGUAAAGGCCCACCAAGGCGACGAUCCGUAGCUGGUCUGAGAGGAUGAUCAGCCACACUGGAACUGAGACACGGUCCAGACUCCUACGGGAGGCAGCAGUGGGGAAUAUUGGACAAUGGGCGCAAGCCUGAUCCAGCCAUACCGCGUGGGUGAAGAAGGCCUUCGGGUUGUAAAGCCCUUUUGUUGGGAAAGAAAAGCAGCAGGUUAAUACCACGCUGUUCUGACGGUACCCAAAGAAUAAGCACCGGCUAACUUCGUG